This 82-nucleotide transfer RNA is filed under the name Orbicella faveolata. RNAcentral describes it as "tRNA-Leu". It matches the Rfam family "tRNA". Rfam says of the family: Transfer RNA (tRNA) molecules are approximately 80 nucleotides in length. Their secondary structure includes four short double-helical elements and three loops (D, anti-codon, and T loops). Lineage: Eukaryota; Metazoa; Cnidaria; Anthozoa; Scleractinia; Merulinidae. The record is from RNAcentral.
GGUAGCGUGGCCGAGUGAUCUAAGGUACUGGUUUAAGGCACCAGUCUCUUCGGGGGCGUGGGUUCGAAUCCCACCGCUGCCA